Molecule: long non-coding RNA, 626 nt
Organism: Manis pentadactyla (Chinese pangolin)
Lineage: Eukaryota; Metazoa; Chordata; Mammalia; Pholidota; Manidae
Exons: 3
Source: RefSeq, a predicted model, not a curated record
GACUGAGGCUAGGGAGGAAGACAUGACUAGUCAGGAGCAGGAUUCAAACCCACAUCUGCGGGAUUGCAAAGCUUGUGUUUAAAUAGCCCACAUCCAAGAUUGUUGCUCACUUAACAACAGGUUAGGUUCAGUGAAAGGUCAUCAUCUUUUUGUGCUCUCAAUUAUCAUUUCCCCUGCCACCGAAUUGGAUGUUACCAGAUUUGGAAGUCUCCUGAGAGAUCACCCGGCCCAAGUUCCCCUAUUUUGGAGACAGAGAACCCAAGAUUCCACCCCACGUUUGUGGCCGUUCAGCUGACCUAUGGAAGUGCCAGUAAAAAUACAGUAAGAAGACAGAUGUGCAAGAAGUACUUUCACUGAAAAACGUCAUUGAAAUGAUCCAGGAAGCACCAGCAUGAACACUUGUAUGAAGAGUAUCAACAGCUUAGAGGAUGAUCCAGCAUCUCCAGCACUCUUGAUGCCUGGAAUAUACAGUGUGGAAAACAGCCAGCAGCAAUUAUGAGUCAAAAAGAGAUUUACGGAGUCAGACUUGGAAUGUGAAGUUUAGAAAUAUCUUAACCAAUUUUUUCACUUGUACCUUCCUUUUUAUACGUGUGUAAGAGUGCUGUAUAAUAAAACCUGUAUCACCA